UGAAGGAACCAUUUGUAUCGGGUCAGGUGUUAUCUUGGAGUCAUGGGACGAUCAGUGUUUCCCUGUUUGUGCCAAAGCUCUUCAACUCGCAGCUGUGGAAGACAAAACCAAACUUGGGAAACCUGUUAAAAUCAUGACGAUGCCAGUUACCACAUCUGUUGAGGCUGAGCCAGGAGAGUCAAGUGGAGAAGAAAGGCUUGUCAAUGCAUGAAACAGAGGAGAUUGUGUAGUAUUCUGAAGAAGCGACUUGAAGAGUUGAAAAAUCGAGAAGCAGAUGUUGCUAGAGGAUAAGAUGACUAAUUUUAUUUAGGAAAAACACUUGUCAGUUGUAAACAUUUGAUAGUUUGUUUUAUCUUCUUAUAUAUGGUGGCUUCAAGCUACGUCAUUGGCUCUCAGUGGUGGCCUCAUGGGAGAUCAUUUGUUGAUCAUCUUGGUGAUUGCAACUAUAACAAUGCAAGUACUGAUUCAAUCGUCUGAGUCACAACGUUCACCUCUUGCCAAGAGACCUCUACAAAGAACAGCUUAUGUGUGCAAAGGAGAAAAUAAACAUCUGUUAAAGCCAGUGAUUCACGCAGCCUUGUUCCUUUGCUCAGCUUCAAAUGAUAUCACAUAUGUAUCAAUAUAACCAAAAUUAGUAUUAUGAUUAGUCAUAUAUAUUUUCAACAUACAUAUUACAUGAUUUUUUUAGAUAGAAUAUCAAUCAAUUCAUAGGUUUCAUUUUUUUUAGAGUAUUAUUGAGAGUAUUAUUGUAAUUUUAAAAUCACAUAUUUUAAAAGAUCUUAAUCACAUAUUUUAAAAUUACAGUAAGGGCAAUUUUCUCAAAUAGCUUUUUUUAAGUUUUUGUCACAAAAAUAGAUCUCAAGAAAGAAAAUGACCAAAAUAGCAUCUUUUUAUUUUGAAAAUUUUAAUUUUAUUUUUUUAUUUUUUUUUAAAUUUGAAACUUUAUCUCCAAAACCCCACCCGUUAACUCUAAACCCUAAGUCUAGAUUAGUUAAGCCAAAGGUAAAAAUACAAUUUUAUCCUUUAAUAAAACUUAUUUUUGUCAUUUUCUUCAUUGAGAGCUAUUUUUGUGACAAAAACUUAAAAAUGACUAUCUUAAGAAAUUUCUCUUACAAUAAUAUUCAAUUUUUUUCUUGAGAGUAUUAUUGUAAUUUUAAAAUAUGUGAUUAAGAUCUUUUAAUUUAGACAAAUAUAUUUUGUAAGAUAAAAUAGUAUCUAUAUGCAUACUUUUUCAUAAUAAUCAUUUGCCUUUUUGUUUAUAGCAAUAUCCAAAGUUAACAAAAACCACCGAUUCGAAUAGCCAGACUGGAGGAACACAAUCGACAUACAACAAAGAAGAAUGAGAACUACGAGCACCACGUGUAAGUUUAUCCACUAAUGAAUUUUAUGCUUUCGAUAUUUGUCUGAUCGAGAAAAUAGAUAAAAUUCCUUAUAUCGUUCUAAUUUAUCCAUGUGAUUAGUAAAAGCUGGUCAUUCUUCAGGUGUUAAUACCACUUUCACCAAUUGAAAACAAUCUGUCUCCAAAAUCACCUAUGAGAAUUGUAGGGUAUUCGUACCUCAAUGGCCAAAAUCAAAACAUCACAUUCUGCAUGUAAAGGUGAUAAGUUUUGCCAUAUAUAUAUCGCCACAUCAUAUGAUCAUCCGAGUCUAUGGUUCUGCAAAACCAUCAUUGACUUGUAAAUUGAUCUUGUUCUCUCCAUGCCCCAAAAAUAUAAAAACAUUUGGUAGCCCUAUCAGAUCCCUCAAAGAAAUUGGACAAAUAUCCCCUUGUUCAUUUGACACUAUAAGUUGUGCCUCUAUCCAUAAUGAUCUUUCAGUUUCCAUUGUACAAAAAGAUUUUCUGUGGGUUUCCAUUCUUUUUAUAGAGCUUGUCAUUUAUAUUCUUCCAAAUCUACCACGUAAUCCAUGAAAAAUAAUUGAAGAGUCUCCAAAAAAGAUAAUCAAUGUUGGAAAAAACUCCAAGGUUCGAAAGUAUAUAGGAGAGAGAGCCCAUAUUUGUAAUGCUGGUGCGCAUUAAAAGAUAACAUGAUUGAUUCUUUAUCCGCUCCAAAUAUACUACACCGCUUAUUACAAUUAAUACCAUGUGAUCACAAAUUUUUAGUGACAUAUAAACUGGCCGAUAUUAUUUGCCAAAUAAAAUGCCUAAACUUUGGUGAAUAUUUUAAUUUCCACACAAAGGUCAAUAAAUGUUUGUUUUAAUUAGUCCAUAUAAUUUCAUCCAUGUUCCCUUAUCUGGAUAGAAUUUCUCCGUUUUAUAUCUUGAUUUAACCGUAUACUUACCUGGUACUGUAAAAUGUCAACUAUAAAAAACUAUAAAAAUCUGGUUUAUGGUUAGGACUUAUGGCCAAAAUUUUGAUGAUUUUCAUAACUUUUGGAUGUAUAUAUGCAUUAAGAAACUCCAUAUUCCAAGAGACAUCCACUGGAUUAAUGAGAUGUUCCACCUUUAAUAAGUGGUGUAAAUAUUGAUAUUGAUGUUUUGAUAUUGCUAAUCUCAGGAAUAGAAAUCCAAGGAUUAUUCCACAUUGAGAUAGAUUUCCCUAUACCUUCUCUUAUGAUUAGUUUUUUUAACCAGAGAUUUAGCAGAACAUAUACUUUUUCAACCAAAUGAUGGUGAGUAUGAUCUGUGUUGAUCCAAAUGAUAUGUCUUCCUAAAAAACUUCCUUUAUAAACCCUCGAAACUAAAGAUUUUGGCUUGUUUAUCAAUCUCCAAAAUUGUUUUGUCAAUAAAGUUGUAUUAAAUUCUUGAAAGUCGCGAAAACCCAACUCUCCUUCUUAGACUAUGUACAUUUGUUCAGUUUUUUCAACAUCAUAUUUUUUACUUUUACCAUUUCAUGUCAUUCUCUUUUUCCUUCCACAUCAUUAGUCAAUAUCUAUUUUUAUUUCAUAUUUAAUAUUUUUAUAUUUUGUAACUAAAAAAUAACAGAUAGAAACAUAAAAACUACUAAAAUUAAAUAAUUAUUAAUUUACAUCAAAAUCAUUAGAAUUGAAAUGUUAUGAUAUGUUUUAGGAAAAAAUAUUAAAAAUAUAAACAAAACUUUACUGAAAAUACUUAAAAACUUAUGAUAAUUUUUUUUGUAUAUGUCCAAAUCAUAUAAAACUAGUCUCUAUUUGUAGAUCACAAAAAAUAAAGAAUUCUUGUAGAAAAUAAUAAAAUAAAUAAAUUAAACUAUUGUAGAAUAAAUUACUUAAAACAAUGAAGGUGAAUACAAAAAAAAAAAAUCUUUAUCAUCAAUAAUCAAUAAAAGAGCAAUAGACACUCUUGUGGACCCCAGUUUUGUGGUUCCAACCUAUUGAAAAAAUUCCACACUAAAUAAUACACGUAAAGCAUCCAAUUUUUUCAACAGGUUCAAUGUAAGCCAUUCAACAGUUGAAUUAAAAAUUCAACAGGCCAUUUACGAUGGCCUUAUUAAUGCUCCACCAAAAAUAUGCAAGUACACUUGUUAGUUUUUUGUUAGUGUUUUAGGAAGUCUAGAGCAUGACAUAAUAUGUGUUGGCAUCACUGAUGCUACAUAUUUUAAAGUUACUCAUUUUCCUCUUUUCGUAAGAAACCGAACUGUCAAACUAUUCACUUCAUUAUUUAUCAUUUAAUUUAGAUAACCGCAGAUUUUUUGUUUUUGAUCCACCCAUACUUUCUGGGAUGCUCAAAUAAUUACCCAUACCAUCCAAUGUAGUAAUGCCGAGUUGGUUUUGAAUCACGACUUGUAAGACUUCUGGGACCUUAUGUCCAAAUUGUAUGGAAGAUUUUGUAAAAUUUAUUUGUUGACUUGAUACUGACUUACAGUCUGUAACUACCCCACACUCCUCCAUAGUAGCCAUGCAGAAGAGUAAUUUUUUCAUUCGGAAAUAGUAAACUAGAGAUCUUUGGACUCCCUUUUGCUAUUUUGAGCUUUGUUAAACGUUUUUCAUGUUCUUUUGUUAGAUGGACCAACUUAUUUCUUUAAUAAUUUUAAAAAUCAUCCUGGUGAUGACACGUGAUUACAAAAAAUGUCCUAAUAUUUCACAAAUAAUAUAUAGGGGAUAGGGGAUAUUGCAAAAUAGAGCGGCUGAGACAACCAACCCCUCCGGCUAGAACUCAUCGAUUCCCGAUGUUCUCGACGGUUAUGAAGCCUUUACUAUCUCCGUCACCGUCGCUGUUUCGCCUUCCUCCCCUUUCUUCUUCUCUCUCACUCUUCUUUCGCGUUUUCCCCUUCUCCUCCUCCUCCUCCUCUCACUUUCAUUCCCCUCAUCCGAUUACGCCUCUCCGUUCCUCCCGCCGCAACUAUACUCGCCACCACGCCUCUCUCUCCGACCACUACCUCUCAUGCUCCGUCCCCGAGAAGCCCCUUCGUGUAGCCGUCCUCCUCAGCGGCGGCGUCGAUAGCAGCGUUGCCCUCCGCCUCCUCCACGCCGCUGGACACUCCUGUACCGCUUUCUACCUCAAAAUCUGGUUCCAGGUCUGUGUCUGCUUCUUCAUCUCAUGUCUCUGUCUAGAAACAUGGGUUUGUGAUGUUUCUAAUGUUCUGUAGGAAGGCUUUGAGAAUUUCUGGAACCAGUGCCCCUGGGAAGACGACUUGAAAUACGCAAAGCAUGUCUGUGAGCAGGUACUGUUCCUGGUCAAACCCUGUGACUAUGUUCUUGAUUUUUAGAUUAUGUUUUAUUAGAAAAGGUUCAUACUUUAUAUACUUCACUGGAAGAUAUGUUCACUGCUUAUUCGAAAAGGUUCAUACUUUAUAUACUUCACUGGAAGAUAUGUUUACUGCUUAUUCAAAAAGGUUCAUACUUUAUAUACUUAGAGCAAUUGAAAGGAUGAUGUUUACUGCUUGUUCAAAAAGAUUCAUACUUUAUAUACUUAAGAGCAAUGAAAGGAGUGCUUCUUGUGGUGUCAUUUUUACAGGUUGGUGUACCUUUAGAGGUUGUGCAUUUAACAGAUGAAUACUGGGAGUUGUAAGUUCUUUUUUGUUUCAUUGCUUCUUCUUUUUUUUAGAGUUGCCUAAUGGUUUAGGUUUUCUGAUUGGAUUUUUUUCGGUGACAUGUCAGGUUUCUUACAUUAUUGAGGAGUACAAAUGUGGGCGUACACCUAACCCGGAUGUUCUGUGUAAUACUAGAAUCAAGUUUGGUAAGCUCAUGAAAAGACUUGUGCUUUUAGUUGAAGUGUGUGUGCCACUUUGACUAAUCAGCUAUAUCUUAAUAGGGGCAUUCAUGGAUGCAAUCAGUGAUAUGGAGUAUGAUUACGUAGCUUCAGGUCAUUAUGCCAAAGUUGCCCAUCCUGCUGCUGGUGGUCCAUCUGUUUUGGAACUCUCACAAGACAUGGUACUUCAAUUAACACUCAUCACUUAAUCUGCCUUUAGUUUUCUGAUCAGCAUGUUUUAGAGAUAAUGUUACUUACUUGUUGGGUGUAAUAUUUGCAUUUGUAUGCUACUAAUGCUUCUUAGGUACAUUGCUUUGGUGUUUAUAGGUGAAAGAUCAGACGUACUUCCUCUCACAUCUCUCUCAAACCCAGCUUAAGCGACUCCUGUUCCCACUUGGUUGCGUAAAGAAGGUAUUCAAACCUCUCAGCCAUUUUGAAAACGUAUUAAAAAAAAAACAAUUUGUUUUAUUAGUGGUUAUCUUUAUGCUUGCCUGCCUUUGUUAUCUGAUGUAUAGGAAGAAGUUCGCAAACUAGCCACACAAUUUGAUUUGCCAAAUAAAGACAGAAAAGAUUCACAAGGAAUAUGUUUCCUUGGGAAGGUAAUUGUUCUUCUUCUGGUUCACAACAGCUUUACCUAGUACAAGCCUGAAACAUAUGAAAAUAUGGCGUUCUGUAAUAGAUAAAGUUCAGCGACUUUGUCGGAACACACAUAGGAGAGAAGGAAGGGAUCAUACUGGAAGCUGAAACUGGUGACUUCCUCGGUAACCAUAAGGGAUUUUGGUUUUACACUAUUGGACAGCGUCAAGGCCUGCGUUUACCCGGUGGACCAUGGUAUGUUGUUGAAAAGGACACCAAGAACAAUGUAGUGUUUGUCUCGAGAGAUUAUUACUCAAUCGACAAGAGAAGGAGGGUUUUCCGUGCUGGAUCCUUAAGGUGGCUUAGUGGGAAACCGUUAGUCAAUAUUAGCCAGCUUCGUUGCAAGGUAAAAAAGAAUAUGAUCGGUUACUUUUUCUACACAUGAUGGCUACAUGAUACUGAUAAGUUGAGUUUAUAGGUAAGGCAUGGACCUGGCUUCUAUAGCUGCAGCUUUGAAAUGGAAGCAGAAGGAGAUGUUGCGGUUGUUCACUUAGAUGAAGACGACCAAGGUCUAGCUGCUGGACAGUUUGCAGCUUUCUAUGAAGGAACCAUUUGUAUCGGGUCAGGUGUUAUCUUGGAGUCAUGGGACGAUCAGUGUUUCCCUGUUUGUGCCAAAGCUCUUCAACUCGCAGCUGUGGAAGACAAAACCAAACUUGGGAAACCUGUUAAAAUCAUGACGAUGCCAGUUACCACAUCUGUUGAGGCUGAGCCAGGAGAGUCAAGUGGAGAAGAAAGGCUUGUCAAUGCAUGAAACAGAGGAGAUUGUGUAGUAUUCUGAAGAAGCGAC
Molecule: long non-coding RNA, 6530 nt
Filed under: Brassica napus (rape)
Lineage: Eukaryota; Viridiplantae; Streptophyta; Magnoliopsida; Brassicales; Brassicaceae
Description: long non-coding RNA (BNAP_LNC014664)
Source: RNAcentral